UUGAAAGGGAAACGAUUGAAGUCAGUCGUACCAGCGGGAAAUCAACCUUUCGAGUGGGGGUUUUGGAGUUUUUUGAAGAGUGUCAAAACCUUUGAGAUUUCAAAAUAUUCGCUCUUUUGGUGUACUUUCUCGUGGGUAGGUUAACAUCGAUUUCGAUCAUCAUAAAAGGAUUGGAGGAAUGUAGCUUCGAUCUUGUAUUGAAGUGUUAUAGCCUUUGGUAAAUGUGAUGAUUAGGAUCGAGGAUUGCAACGAAUACCCUUUUGGGCUAUCCGCCUGAUCUCUGAUACGUGGCCUUGGCAUCGAAAGCUUGCUUAUGGUAUCAAGGUAUUACGGUCAAAAGGUUAGAACGGAUUACAUUCGUUAAGGAUGUUGACGUA
RNAcentral lists this ribosomal RNA (377 nucleotides) under uncultured Glomeromycotina. RNAcentral describes it as "LSU rRNA". Lineage: Eukaryota; Fungi; Glomeromycota. The record is from RNAcentral.